UACGUAGGUGGCAAGCGUUAUCCGGAAUUAUUGGGCGUAAAGAGUGAGCAGGCGGUCGUUUAAGUCUGAAGUCAAAUGCUGUGGCUCAACCACGGUUCGCUUUGGAAACUGGACGACUAGAGUACGAGAGAAGUAAGCGGAAUUCCAUGUGUAGCGGUGAAAUGCGUAGAUAUAUGGAGGAACACCAGUGGCGAAGGCGGCUUACUAGAUCGAUACUGACGCUCAGUCACGAAAGCGUGGGUAGCAAAUAGGAUUAGAUACCCUU
Molecule: ribosomal RNA, 265 nt
Filed under: uncultured prokaryote
Description: partial 16S ribosomal RNA
Rfam family: Bacterial small subunit ribosomal RNA
Source: RNAcentral